Molecule: long non-coding RNA, 1000 nt
Filed under: Olea europaea subsp. europaea
Lineage: Eukaryota; Viridiplantae; Streptophyta; Magnoliopsida; Lamiales; Oleaceae
Source: RNAcentral
AACUACAGCAAUUAAUACAAGAACAGUAAUGUUAACAGAAGGUACAAGGCUGCAAAGCAAGAGCAUUAACACCUGCAUCUAGUCUUUAUUUUUCUUCCUCCUUUUUUUUUUGGCCUCUCAACUUUGCUGGACUGUCCAUAACCUCAUUUAAAACAAGCACUGAAAAAGCUACGAGCCUUGCUACAAUUAAUUCUAAUUCAGUAGAAAGAAAUGAAGACUGAGAGCAGAAAGAACUUACUGUAUUUUCUAGUUGAAUUUUAAAACUAGUCAUUAGAAUUGAUAGUAGCAAAGCCCUUAUAACAUUUUCUCACUUAGUUGUGAAGAGGGUUGGGCCCUGUGUGUACUAAUCUCUUUUCUUCUUCAUACAACUUGUCUGAAGAACUACCAUUUUUUUCGGGACUCACAAUUUGGGAUGGACUUGAAGCUUCUACGUGAUACAGCUCAGGGUCGAAAAACCGGGCUUUUCUAGCCGGAAACAAUCUUGAACUGCCAGCUGCAGUUUUACUUAUCCUCUCAGAAGAAGAUAAACAAAUUUCUGAAAAGAUUAAGAGCAACCAAAAAGAAGAAACUGCAAUUCUUGUUGUAGAAUCCCAUCUUCUUCUUCUUCUUCUUCUAGUUCGUUCCAUUGUCAUGAUAAGCUUCAUAUGAGUUCAACAACUCAAACACAUGAAAAUGAGAAAAUUCCUCAAAGCAGGCUAUAAAUCUUUUAGUACUUUUUGGGAAAAUCUAAACCCUACUGCAAGAAAGAAAGAGAGAAAAAUCGAGAGAGAGAGAGAGAGUUGUAUGGUUUCCUUAUCUUAUGGGUCUAUCCACAUGAUCUUGGGCCUUGAUUCGUGGAACCUUCUUAUACAUAUCUUAUUUCUCCUGUGAAUCUUGGAACUCUGGACCUUUUUACUUGUAUGCAAACAAGAAUGGACUUAUAUGCAUGUUAGUUUUUGGCAUCUUUUUAAGAUAUAAAUAAUAUAUAUACAUACAUUAUUAUAUAUGUAUAGUUUUGAGG